RNAcentral lists this ribosomal RNA (235 nucleotides) under Lysinibacillus macroides. RNAcentral describes it as "partial 16S ribosomal RNA". It matches the Rfam family "Bacterial small subunit ribosomal RNA", at positions 366 to 596 of the family's 1533-position model. Lineage: Bacteria; Bacillati; Bacillota; Bacilli; Caryophanales; Bacillaceae. The record is from RNAcentral.
GGGUUAUGGGCGAGCCUGAUGGAGCACGCCGCGUGAGUGAAGAAGGUUUUCGGAUCGUAAAACUCUGUUGUAAGGGAAGAACAAGUACAGUAGUAACUGGCUGUACCUUGACGGUACCUUAUUAGAAAGCCACGGCUAACUACGUGCCAGCAGCCGCGGUAAUACGUAGGUGGCAAGCGUUGUCCGGAAUUAUUGGGCGUAAAGCGCGCGCAGGCGGUCCUUUAAGUCUGAUGUG